Molecule: ribosomal RNA, 253 nt
Filed under: uncultured bacterium
Lineage: Bacteria
Description: partial 16S ribosomal RNA
Rfam family: Bacterial small subunit ribosomal RNA
Source: RNAcentral
UACGUAGGGGGCAAGCGUUGUCCGGAUUCAUUGGGCGUAAAGAGCGUGUAGGCGGCCAGGUAGGUCGGUUGUGAAAACUGGAGGCUCAACCUUCAGAGGUCGACAGAAACCAUCUGGCUAGAGUAUGGUAGGGGCAGAGGGAAUUCCUGGUGUAGCGGUGAAAUGCGUAGAUAUCAGGAAGAACAUCGGUGGCGAAGGCGCUCUGCUGGACCAUAACUGACACUCAGGGACGAAAGCUAGGGGAGCGAAUGGG